RNAcentral lists this ribosomal RNA (552 nucleotides) under uncultured bacterium. RNAcentral's name for it is "bacterial SSU rRNA". It matches the Rfam family "Bacterial small subunit ribosomal RNA", at positions 953 to 1503 of the family's 1533-position model. The record is from RNAcentral.
GAAGCAACGCGAAGAACCUUACCAGGCCUUGACAUCCAAUGAACUUUCUAGAGAUAGAUUGGUGCCUUCGGGAACAGUGAGACAGGUGCCGCAUGGCUGUCGUCAGUUCGUGUCGUGAGAUGUUGGGUUAAGUCCCGUAACGAGCGCAACCCUUGUCCUUAGUUACCAGCAGUGUAAGGGUGGGCACUCUAAGGAGACUGCCGGUGACAAACCGGAGGAAGGUGGGGAUGACGUCAGGUCCUCAUGGCCCUUAUGGGUAGGGCUACACACGUCAUACAAUGGCCGGUACAGAGGGCUGCCAACCCGCGAGGGGGAGCCAAUCCCAGAAAACCGGUCGUAGUCCGGAUCGCAGUCUGCAACUCGACUGCGUGAAGUCGGAAUCGCUAGUAAUCGCGGAUCAGCUUGCCGCGGUGAAUACGUUCCCGGGUCUUGUACACACCGCCCGUCACACCAUGGGAGCGGGUUCUGCCAGAAGUGGUUAGCCUAACCGCAAGGGGGGCGAUUACCACGGCAGGGUUCGUGACUGGGGUGAAGUCGUAACAAGGUAACCGU